This 299-nucleotide ribosomal RNA is filed under the name uncultured bacterium. Its description in RNAcentral is "partial 16S ribosomal RNA". It matches the Rfam family "Bacterial small subunit ribosomal RNA", at positions 775 to 1067 of the family's 1533-position model. The record is from RNAcentral.
GGAUUAGAUACCCUGGUAGUCCACGCCGUAAACGAUGUCUACUAGUUGUCGGUUGUCUUGUACGACGGGUAACGCAGCUAACGCGAUAAGUAGACCGCCUGGGGAGUACGGCCGCAAGGCUAAAACUCAAAGGAAUUGACGGGGACCCGCACAAGCGGUGGAGCAUGUGGUUCAAUUCGAUGCAACGCGCAGAACCUUACCCAGGCUUGACAUCUACGGAAUCUCUGUGAAAGCGGAGAGUGCUACCGCAAGGUAGAGCCGUAAGACAGGUGCUGCAUGGCUGUCGUCAGCUCGUGCCG